GUGGGUAUAGCUCAGUUGGGAGAGUGUUGGACUGAAGAUUUGAUGGUUAUGUGUUCAAUCCAUAUUUUCACU
This 72-nucleotide transfer RNA is filed under the name Vigna angularis (adzuki bean). It matches the Rfam family "tRNA". From Rfam's summary of the family: Transfer RNA (tRNA) molecules are approximately 80 nucleotides in length. Their secondary structure includes four short double-helical elements and three loops (D, anti-codon, and T loops). RNAcentral also lists the same sequence under 1 other name. Lineage: Eukaryota; Viridiplantae; Streptophyta; Magnoliopsida; Fabales; Fabaceae. The record is from Rfam by way of RNAcentral.